RNAcentral lists this ribosomal RNA (301 nucleotides) under uncultured bacterium. RNAcentral's name for it is "partial 16S ribosomal RNA". It matches the Rfam family "Bacterial small subunit ribosomal RNA", at positions 509 to 807 of the family's 1533-position model. The record is from RNAcentral.
CAGCCGCCACGGUAAUGCGGAGGGCGCGAGCGUUACCCGGAUUUACUGGGCGUAAAGGGCGUGUUGGCGGCCUGGGGCGUCCCAUGUGAAAGGCCACGGCUCAACCGUGGAGGAGCGUGGGAUACGCUCAGGCUAGAGGGUGGGAGAGGGUGGUGGAAUUCCCGGAGUAGCGGUGAAAUGCGCAGAUACCGGGAGGAACGCCGAUGGCGAAGGCAGCCACCUGGUCCACUUCUGACGCUGAGGCGCGAAAGCGUGGGGAGCAAACCGGAUUAGAUACCCCUGUAGUCCCUGUCUCUUAUAC